GAUGAACGCUGACAGAAUGCUUAACACAUGCAAGUCGAUGGGGAAGUGGUGCUUGCACCAUGGCAACCAUGGCGGACGGGUGAGUAACGCGUAAGGAACUUGCCUGCGGGACUGGGAUAACAGCAGGAAACUGCUGAUAAUACCGGAUAAGGUCAUUAAGCUGCAUAGCUUAGUGAUGAAAGGAGACGCCUGCGGAGAGCCUUGCGUCCUAUUAGCUAGUUGGAGGGGUAACGGCCCACCAAGGCGAAGAUAGGUAGCCGGCCUGAGAGGGUGGACGGCCACAAGGGGACUGAGAUACGGCCCUUACUCCUACGGGAGGCAGCAGUGGGGAAUAUUGGACAAUGGGGGCAACCCUGAUCCAGCAAUUCUGUGUGCACGAAGACGGUUUUCGGAUUGUAAAGUGCUUUCAGCAGGGAAGAAGGAAGUGACGGUACCUGCAGAAGAAGCGACGGCUAAAUACGUG
RNAcentral lists this ribosomal RNA (463 nucleotides) under uncultured bacterium. Its description in RNAcentral is "partial 16S ribosomal RNA". It matches the Rfam family "Bacterial small subunit ribosomal RNA", at positions 28 to 507 of the family's 1533-position model. The record is from RNAcentral.